This 489-nucleotide ribosomal RNA is filed under the name uncultured bacterium. Its description in RNAcentral is "partial 16S ribosomal RNA". It matches the Rfam family "Bacterial small subunit ribosomal RNA", at positions 28 to 507 of the family's 1533-position model. The record is from RNAcentral.
GAUGAACGCUAGCUACAGGCUUAACACAUGCAAGUCGAGGGGCAGCAUGAUUGAAGCUUGCUUCAAUCGAUGGCGACCGGCGCACGGGUGAGUAACACGUAUCCAACCUGCCGAUAACUCGGGGAUAGCCUUUCGAAAGAAAGAUUAAUACCCGAUAGUAUAGUAUUUCCGCAUGGUUUCACUAUUAAAGAACUUCGGUUAUCGAUGGGGAUGCGUUCCAUUAGAUAGUUGGCGGGGUAACGGCCCACCAAGUCAACGAUGGAUAGGGGUUCUGAGAGGAAGGUCCCCCACAUUGGAACUGAGACACGGUCCAAACUCCUACGGGAGGCAGCAGUGAGGAAUAGUGGUCAAUGGACGAGAGUCUGAACCAGCCAAGUAGCGUGAAGGAGGACUGCCCUAUGGGUUGUAAACUUCUUUUAUACGGGAAUAAAGUGGAGUAUGCAUACUCCUUUGUAUGUACCGGAUGAAUAAGGAUCGGCUAACUCCGUG